RNAcentral lists this transfer RNA (77 nucleotides) under Chelatococcus sambhunathii. RNAcentral's name for it is "tRNA_Arg_CCG". It matches the Rfam family "tRNA". From Rfam's summary of the family: Transfer RNA (tRNA) molecules are approximately 80 nucleotides in length. Their secondary structure includes four short double-helical elements and three loops (D, anti-codon, and T loops). Further hydrogen bonds mediate the characteristic L-shaped molecular structure. tRNAs have two regions of fundamental functional importance: the anti-codon, which is responsible for specific mRNA codon recognition, and the 3' end, to which the tRNAs corresponding amino acid is attached (by aminoacyl-tRNA synthetases). tRNAs cope with the degeneracy of the genetic code in two manners: having more than one tRNA (with a specific anti-codon) for a particular amino acid; and 'wobble' base-pairing, i.e. permitting non-standard base-pairing at the 3rd anti-codon position. Lineage: Bacteria; Pseudomonadati; Pseudomonadota; Alphaproteobacteria; Hyphomicrobiales; Chelatococcaceae. The record is from RNAcentral. RNAcentral also lists the same sequence under 4 other names.
GCACCCGUAGCUCAGCUGGAUAGAGCGUCGCCCUCCGAAGGCGAAGGUCACACGUUCGAAUCGUGUCGGGUGCGCCA